CCGGCCCAACACCCAACAGAUUUGUGCGCGGGCCGGGGGCGGUGCGAAUGGGCACCACUUUCCACCUGCCUCUGCGCGCCAGAGCGGAACAAACAAGAGGACAGACCAAUGGGAGUUAGCGCUGGAACUUGGCUAUACAUUGAGAACAACAUAUCUAUCUCGUCCCUUUCCAUUGGAGGCUACUACUGCCAUUUCUCCUCACUCACACUGUAUUUCUGAUUCCUCUUGGCAUUGAAGUGACUCUGAAUUCAAGGUUCACCUUCAACAGUGGAAAGGCUGUAUAUAUAGCCAUCUUCUCUCCAGAUGCCAGCCCCAUUCCCUGAGACCGGAAAGUGGGAGGAAGCUCUUAGCAAUUCCAGAAACGUAAACUGGUCUUGCCAUGACUACUGAAAAUGAUGGAACAAAAGUGAUUAGUGGAGAAUUGAUAACCAAGAUAAUUAAGGAGAUUACAGACAGGACUUUUGAUCCACUGUGAAUGAUAUCUGAAAGCUGAUGGAGUUAGGGACCCCCUUAGUUUCCAGUUUUUUGCUAUUACAAAAACAGCUGCUAGAAAUAUUUUUGUAUACAUGACACUGGAGAAGGACAAAUAUUAUGAUUUUUCAAAAAGGAAAGAGGAUGGAGUAUGUAAGUCAGAGGCCACUAAGCUUGAUUCCAACUCCUGGGAAAAUUCAAGAAUAGAUCAUUUAAAGAGAAGCUUGGAAAACAUCUACAAAGGGAAGCAGUGAUUAGGAAGAGUCAGCAUGACUUUAUCAAGAAGAAGACAUGAUGGAUUAACCUAUUUCCUUUUUUGACAAGGCUACGUCAAAGUUUUGAGGGGAAUUCUAUUGAUGAUAUAGUUUACUUAGAUUUUAGCAAAGGUUUUCAAUAGAGUAUCUCACAUUAUUCCUGUGGAGAAAGAUGGAAAGAUGAAGUUUAGAAAAUCAUAUAAUCAGAUGGAAUCAGACCUGGUUGACUGGCUGGACUCAAAGAGUAGUAUUGUUUUUUAAAUAUCUUUAUUUAUCUAGCUAUUUACUCAUGAAAGCCAUUAUUAUCAUUUCCUCCUAUUGCCCCUUCCCCCAGUUGAACAUUAAAAAACAAAAACUCUCAAAAAAACCUCAUGUAAUCAAACAAAGCAAAUUCUCACACUGGUCAUCUGAAGAAAAAAACAACAACAACACUAUCUAAUUCUGGAUUUUGAGUCCAUCAUUAUUACCUCUCUGGCAGGAAAUGGGUGACAUGAUUAAACCCCAGUCAUUUGGACUUAUUAUUGUGUUACCUCGAGUUUUUAAGUCUUUCAAAGUUGCCUUUCUCAAUACUGCUGUUGUCAUUGUGGAGAGUCUUCACUCUAGAUAUAUUCAGGUCUUCCCAGUUUCCAUCUGAAUUUUUUUCAUUUUGUGAUGUCUAAUGGUGCAAUAAUAUGCCAUUACAUUAAUAUAAUACAGCUUAUUUAUCCAUUCCUCCUCAUUUAGGGACCUACUUAGUUUCCCAUUUUUUUGCUAUUACAUAAAGAACUGCUAUAAAUAUUUUUCUAUAUGUUUUAUACUGAAGCAGCUGAGUGGUAUAAUGGAUAGAGCACUGGACCUGGGGAGUCAAGAAAUCCUGAGUUCAAAUCCAGACCUCAACAUUUAUUGUUUAUUAUUUGUUUUCAUAAAGGACCAAAUGGAUGAUGUCUUAACUUGUAAGUGAAUUGGAUUUAAGUGAGGAAGAAUUGUACAAAGUCAUCAGCCUCAUUCUUUCUUCCAGUCAUCCAAGUCCAAUGCCAAGACAAAAGUCAGGAUGAAUGGUGUUAGCCUGGGAUGCAGUGGUUGACCAUGGUAUCUUUGAUGUCUGACCCAGCUGCAAACAGUCCACAGUGCCAGCUUCCAUCUCCUUCAUGGCCAUUGGAACAAAUUGUUCUCAUCUACCCAUUCUGCCAGGGAAAGUCUUCACAUGCUUAGAUUAGACACUCCCCUAAUUCACUGAAGGUUUUGUGGCCCAUGGGUUACCUUCAAACCUUUCUAUAGAUAAAUGGCCAAAAAGGACACCAACAGGAAAUUUUCAGAUGAAGAAAUCCAAGCUAUCAAUCACCACAGAAGAAAAAACAUUCUACAUUACUAAUAUUUAGAGAAAUGCAAAUUAAGACAACUCUGAUUUUCUACUUCACACCUAUUGUAUUGGUAUAGAUGAUGAAAGCCACUGCUUUCUGCUGCAGAUGCUGAGAUGGUUUUCUUUCUGCACUGCAUCUGCUGAGAUGGCUUUCUCAUGCUACACUUUCUUUGAGCCACAGGUAAGACCCUAGUGCCAGGUGGACAUCAAAAGUGGAUGAGCAGCCCAGAAAAGGGCUCUGCAAACCCUUCCACCAGAGGUGCUAGUCUUCCCUGAACACCCAGACCUCCCAAACAGCAUUUUGCUAUUGUUCAUUCAUUUCAGUUGUGACCCCAUUUGGGAUUUUCUUGGCAAAGAUACUGGAGGGGUUGGCCAUUUUCUUCUCUGGCUCAUUUUAUAGAUGAGGAAACUGAAGCAGGUGAAGUGAUUUGCCCAAGGUCACUCAGCCAUUUUUUUUAAUGGAAUUUCUCUUUCUGGCUCUUUCAGCUUGUUUUGGUUUUUGGAACACAGAAAUGCUGAUGAUUUGCAUGGAUUUAUUUUGUAUCCUGCCAUGCUGACAAAUUUAUAUUUUUAAUUAGUUCUUCAGGCUUUUUCUAAGCAAAUCAUCCUAUUGUCUUCAAAAAGUAACAAUUUUGUUUCUUCUUUACUUAUGAUUCUUACUUUAUUUUUCCUUCUUGUCAGCUAGCAUUCCUAAAAGUAUGUUAAAUACUAAGGAUGAUAGUAGGUAUUCUUGCUUUUUCCAUGAUCUUGUUGGAAAGAUUACACAUCAUGGGUGCUGGGGGUUUUAGAUGGAUGUUAUUUCCUAUAUUAAGGAAAGGUUCAUUUAUUCUGGUGCUUUCUAGUGUUUUUUAACAGAAACAGGUGUUGGAUUUUGUCAGAAGGUUUUUUUCAGCAUCUGUUGAGAUAAUCAUGUGUUUUUUAUUAUUAACAUAAGUAUUAUAUUUAUAGUCUUCCUUAUGUUGAUCCAACCCUACAGAAUGAAUUUGCCUGACAUAAUUUUCGGUUUUGGAGUGAGAUUUUCUACCAUCUGUUCUAAGGUGUCAUAUUUCCUUGCUGGCCUUUCAUCCCUAGCUAUUCCAUUUUGCUUUUCUUAUUUCUUUUUUUUUCAGGUACUUUUAAAGUCCUUAUUGCCAGGAUGUAUAUAUUUCAUAUAUACAUUUUUGGAGGCAUCAAUUGGACUGGUAAGGUUGCUCUCUUCCUUUGGCUUUACCCCUGGGUGUCUCUCAAUCCUCCAGUUUUGGGGAAUUUUACUUGGUUCCCUUAUCUCAGGAGCCUCAGUACAUAGGUUGGGGGAACCUGCUUUGGGUCGGGCUCCAUGGACUCCUGUUCUCCUGGAUGGCAGGGGCAGAGCUUGCCUUGACUUUAGUGGGGUAGUCCAGACAAGGCCUCUCCUUCAAGGAAUGAACUCCAGGGUUGCUCCGUCCCUGGGCCUCCCUCUUGGACAGUAGUCCUUGGUCACCUCCUGUUCCAGGGCUUCCCUGAGACCUUCUCUUCUGCUGCUGAGAUUCAGGGGCUGCUUCAGCUGCUUCUAUGCUGCCUGCCAUGGGGUUUGAGGUUGCUGCUCUUUGAGAGUGCCCUUCUGUUCUCUCCUUUCCACCUAAACACAGCUUCUAUGUCAGGGCUCCUGCAGGGUUUCUGAGGUCCUUCUCUGGACUACUGGAUUGGGUCGAAGAGUAUGUGGUUGGUUCUCUUUUUUCAUUAAAAUCAACAUGUGAAUGAUACAUUUUGAAGUUUUCUUGGCGUGUUUUCAGAAGGUUAGGGAUUUUUGUUUUUAAACCCUAUCUCCCAUCUUAGAAUAAUACUAUGUAUUGGUUCCAAGGCAGAAGAAGUAAGGGCUAGGCAAGGUGGGUUAAGUGACUUGCCCAGGGUCACACAGCUGGGAAGUGUCUCAGAUCACAUUUGAACCCAGAAUCUUCCAUCUCUGAGCCUGGCUCUCAAUCCACUGAACCACCUAGCUGUCCCCUUUAUUUUCUUUUUUUAAAGGAAAUGUAUGUUUAUGUGCACCCUAGUCAUCCUCUCACUUGGUUAUUUUUUUAUUUUUUUGUUAUUUUGUACUAAAAAAUUGGAGCAACUAGGUGGCAAAUAGGGGUCUGGAGACAGGAUGACCUGAGUUCAAGUCUAGUCUCAGACACUUAUUAUAUGUGUGACCCUGGGCAAAUCAAACUAUUUGCCUCAGUUUCCUCACCUAUAAAAUGAACUAGAGAAGGUAAUGGCAAACCACUCCAAUAUCUUUGCCAAGAAAAGUCAUCUGAAUACCAACACCACAAAAAUACUAAUUAACAUGAGCAUUUCCAUAUAUAAAAAAUAGUGGGGGAAGAAAGGGCUGGGAAUUACAUAUGAAACUACAGAUAAACAGCUUAAAAACAUACACACACACACACACACACACGAAUUCAGCAUUUCAAUAUCAAAGCUAGGUUACUUGUUUGUGAUGGACACCAAACCUCCUCUUCUCUUCUGUGUAUGUGUUUUUUCACUGCUUUAUCCUUACUAAUUGCCUCCAAAUAUGCCAAAAAAUCUUCCACGGUUUAAAAUAACCUUCCUUGUGUUAAACAAGUCUUGUAAAGCAAAAUAAAUUCACCCAUCAGCCAUGUACAAAAAUGUCUACCUCAUUCUGGGUCUCAUGCCCAUCCCAUCUCUGGUGGCAGUUCAGUAGAAUGUUUCAUCAUUGGCCCUCUGAAGCCUCAGUUGGUCAUUACAUUGAUUGAAAGGGUAUUCAAAGGUAUUGUCUUAUAAUGUUGUAGUUGUAUAAAUUGUUUUUCUAGUUCUGCUCAUUUCAUUCUAUAUUAAUUCAAAUAAAUCUUCCCAUGUUUCUCUUAAUCCAUCCUUUUCCUUAUUUUUUACCACAUAACAAUAUUCCAAUUACAUUCCUAUACCAGAAGUUGAUCAGCCAUUUUCCAAAUGGUGGAUACCUGCCCUUAGUUACCAGUUCUUUGCUACUAUCAAGAGAGCUGAUAUAAAUAUUUUUGUAAUAUAGGUCCAUCUUUCUUGGAUCUCUUUGGAUGUAUAGGACUAGUAAUGGCAUUGCUACAUCAAAAGACAAUCACAGUUCAGUGAUUUUUGAGGGGUCUAGAGUUCCAUAUUGAUUUCCAGAAUGUCUAGAAGACCUGGAACUCUUCUAACAUAAGCCUUAAUGAUCCAGAAUCUCUUCUAAAACAUGAUCAUUAAAAAUAUAUUUAUUUAAUCAAUUAAUUUAUAAUAUUUUUCCAUAGUUACAUGAUUCAUGUUCUUUACCUCCCCUCCUUGCUCCUCCUUCCCAGAGCCAACAAGCAAUUCCAUUGGGUAAAACAUGAUCAUUUUUGAAGGAGAUCAUAAGAAUGCAAACAUCCCUCUUGAAUUUAUUCCAUUUUCUGAGAAGUCAUCAUAUUUAGAUAUAAUGCCUUUCAAGUAGUGGUCACCAUCAGUUUUUUGUUUUUAUUUUAUUUUAUUUUUUAAACCCUUACCUUCUGUCUUAGAAUCAAUACUGUGUAUUGGUUCUAAGGCAGAAGAGUGGUAAAGUCUAGGCAAUAGGGGUUGUGACUUGCUCAGGGUCACACAGCUGGGAAGUGUCUGAGGCCAGAUUUGAACCCAGGACCUCCCAACUCUAGGCCUGGCUCUCAAUCCACUGAGCCCCCAGCUGCCCCCAAUUUUUAAAAAAUUUUCAGCUUUGAGCAGAGUCUUACUGACAAGUACAAAAUCCUUACAUUAAAAAUUUAAAUUGUUUAAAUGCUUUCCCCUUUGGUCUUUCCUCAUAAGCAUUAGACUAUUUCUGAUUAUUUAAUGAGGACAAAGGAAUGAAUUAGUCUUCUAGAUUUUAAAGUGCAAUCAAAUGCAAUCAAGUCUGGUUGAAAACAUUUCUGUCCCAGAAAUGCUGUUGCUAAUUUCUCCAUCUUAUACAUGUUUAAAAAUGGAAUUGAAAAACCUUCAUCAACUCUACUAUUUCCCAAGAACUGUGCUAAGUACUGGGAAUACAGUUGUGAGAAAUCGUGAAAAGUGAGACAAUCUUUGCUUCCAAAAUCCAGUGAUAUCCUCACUAUAUUAUGCUACCUAUAAAUACUCAAUUUAAUCACUAACACUUUGAGUUAUCUUAGACAGGGAAAGGAGUGGGUUUUUAACUGGAACAGAGUCUCUCGUUCUCUGGAUACAUCUAGCCUUAAUUUCUACCCUACUGGUAAAGAAACCAAGGUAGGAUGACAGAAUUCUCUCUUCAGGGAUAUGCUGGUAAAUGUUUAGCAACUAAGUCUUCAAAAAUGUUCACCAAACUGUAGCAUUUUAAAUUUUAAUCUGCAUAAUCCAUUUUCUCAAGUCUAGACAAGCCCAGAUUUGGCCUGCGAGGGGUCAUAGUUUUUAGACCCCCUGCUCUAGGUAAUAAAACAAAAAAGUCAAGCCCCGCCCCGUUUGGAACCAUUUGCUGAUUUAUGAACAAUCAGGUCUUGUGAGCAGGGAUAAGCUAGCUGCUGUUCAUUCUUGGUUUUCUUUUCUUUUGAGACAUCCCAUAGCCAUCUCUUUACUAUACUACCUCAAACCUAAAAUUUCACUCUUCCCUCUUAGCUGAGGGCCUGUUAAUAUCAGAAAGUUUUAUUCAUUUUUUUCCCCAACUUCUACAGGUGUGUCAGAGGACAGACCAGCCUGUUCCCUUGGCCACGGUUGGCAGAUCCAUAAGAAAUGGAAAGGAGGCCUCCAAACCAGCACUGAAUUGUGAAAAAUGAAAGACAUUUUCACAGAGUGGAACAGUCAUACAUUUGUCUAAAUUCCCCGUGAGAGAUGUAAACCUUAAAAUUUCUUAGACUUAAGAAUGUUGGAAAUUUCCCCAUUGGGAAAUUUCAUACUUGAAAAAUUUCCUACUGAUAGUAAGAACUCUAUUGGAAUGUGAAACUCCUUGGCAUGGGAGGAUCCUUCUCCUCCCUGCUUAAGACUACUUUAGGACAGAAACCUUUUGUUAAACAAUGGAAAGGGCUUUGACCUAUGCUUAAGCAUAGAACAGGAAGUUCUUUGAGUCAUGAUUGAUUUUAGAAUUGAUACAAUAGAGAUACUUGGAAUGACAGAACCAGGUCUUGGAAUUUACAAUCUCCACCCUACUCAGAGUAAUAGGAUUUAGGAAGUGCUGCAGCAAAGAUUAAGAUUUAAUUAUUUGAGAAUAUGACCUUCAACAGACAUGUGCAAAGGAAACAGACCUCUGGGCGGUCCUGGGUUAAGCUAGAGCCACCAUUGGCACAGGGGAGACAUCGACAGUGAUUGGUAGAUGUGAGAACUGAGGGGAGGGGACUUAGAUGGUUUCCUUAAAGAUAGCGGGGUCUGAGGACAGGAGGAGGAGGUUUUGCUCUGGGAGGUUUUUUUUGCUCUGAGAAGUUUUGCUCUGAAAGAGUCUGAGAGGAGAGAGGUCCUGGAGGGAGAGCUCCUGGAGAGGUCUGAGAGGAGGGCUUGCUCUGAAGAAGGCUGGAGGUGGAGGCCCCUGAGACUGUUUCUCCUUUUUGGUCACAUGAGUGAUAGGGACUGAUCUCUUUUCUUUGCCUCAGCUAUCUAAGGGCUUGGGCCUUUGGCCCAGCCUAAGCAGAGGGGGUAUUGAAGCCCUAUUCCCUUCU
Monodelphis domestica (gray short-tailed opossum) is the source of this 7625-nucleotide non-coding RNA. The record is from RefSeq and is a predicted model, not a curated record. NCBI's taxonomy places the organism in Eukaryota, Metazoa, Chordata, Mammalia, Didelphimorphia, Didelphidae.